GGAAGGAUCAUUAGUACGUUAAGGUUAUUCGAUUGCUUAUACCGUCGAAUACAACUUUAUGACUUCAUGCCAAGAUCAGGUGGGUUUUUCAGUAGCAUGUCCGAUCAACAUGAAUGCUGAGUAUAAAUGAUGGUGUGUGCUUAAAAAACACAUGCCGGAUUAACUCGUGACCUGAUCCAGAAGUCCCAAAAUUUGUCCACUUGAUUUCUCUUCUCCUCUGUCCAUCUUAUCAUAGGUGGGGUUGGGGUUUCUGCUCCUUUUUGGUUAUUUCCUUGGGCGGAGUGUGCGUCAUUAAGGUAACUGUGUUGUGUUGGCCUAGUGGCCUGACGCGGGGCACGGUUUUUGGUCUUCACCUUCUGUGAUGGGAAGACUGCCUGAUCACACUCGUAACGCUAAAUACAAACUUGGAAAUCCAAAGUACUCUUAGGAGGGUUUUGUUGUCAUGACGAAAUCCUACUUGGUGGUGCGCAAGUGCCAUCCGCGAUGGGAAACUGGGGUUCAUCUCAUCGUGUUAAAAAGUUAACGCCUUCGAGUCGGAGUGGAUUAGAACUGACGAGUUUUGAGAGAAGUCAAAGGCAUGGGCUGUUGCAGUAGAGAGCGUUGAUCCCGCGCUUUCGUAUCCUCCCCUCCAGACCAGAGUUAGUGAAGUGCAUGUUGCGCUUCUUUUCUAAUUCGCUGUACUGUUAUCCUCUUUUUUUUACGGGAUUUUUUUCGGAGUGAGGCAACCUAAAAUAAAAUCUCAUUGGGACUUCUCGAAACGCUUUCCUUUGUUGUUAGUGUACGAGUUGACCUAUGGUAUGUAAUUCCAACACAACUUUCAGCAGUGGAUGACUCGGCUCCCGGAACGAUGACGAACGCAGCAAACUGCGAUACGUAGUGCGAAUUGCAGAGCUCAGUGAAUCAUCAAAUCUUCGAACGCAUUUGGCACUCCUGGGGCAACUCAGGAGUACGUACUCUUCAGUGUCACUUGCAAUCAAACUCGACAGCGUUUUUAAGUGUUUCUUGGCUGGCGGAUAGACACGAGACAUUUGAAAAUGUUUGUUGGAUAUUGAGUGUUCACCUUAUUCGUCUUGAUAGCUUUUACUCCUUGCUUGCAUGUUGCGGGUAAGGUUGGGUUAUUAAGCAUUCUGAGUGUCACUUUAAAUGCGCAAAUUAUACCCCUGGUCGUUUUGCGUCUAAGGGUUUGGUUUGGUUCAUGCGGAAAGAACUACCAGGCUUUAAACGAUGCUUAGCGGCGUAUGGGAUUUGUCUCAGAUGUGUUGUUCUAAACAGCAUAUCUUGCUUUUUUGACCUGAAGUGGUGCGAGGGCACCCGCUGAAUUUAAGCAUAUUAUUAAGCGGAGGAAAAGAAACUAACAAGGAUUCCUUUAGUAACGGCGAGUGAAAGGGGAAAAGCCUAAUUUUAAAUCCGUGGCCCUGGGCUUCGGAGUUGUAAUCUUACAGCGUAAUGUCAGUGAUGGCCUGGGACUAACUUCUCUGAAAGGGGGGAUCAUAGAGCGUUAUAAUCGCGUCUUUGACCUGGAGUCCAUUACGUACGAUAUGCGCUUCGAAAGUAGCGUUGUUUGGGAUCACAGCGCGAAGUAGGAGAUAAGCUUCUUCUAAGGCUAAAUAUCGCCGGGAGACCGAUAGCAAACAAGUAGCGUGAGCGAAAGUUGAAAAGAACUUUGAAAAGAGAGUUAAAAGUACCUGAAACUGCUGGAAGGUAAUCGCUGGGUUCUAUAAUCCGAAUCGCCACUUGCCCGGCAAACCUAUCUGUAGGCGUGUGUAUCUAGGAGCCGCCAAGGCCCUUGUUCACUAGCUGAAGGGUAGCAGCACCGGUUACUGUGGUUGAGGGCAUCCUAGGCUCUUUGGUCGGGCGGAGAAGACCGGUGGAAGGUAGGUCCUAAAUGGGGCUGAUAAGCCACCGGAUUUAUACGUCGCGGCUGGGGAUGGAAAAAGUACCGCUCUUUAAGGCACGCUAUGGCAUGACGAGUUGUAAUGGACAGACGGCAAAGCUGUGUGCUCAUUGCAGCUUUUCAUCUGACGUAGAUGCGCUAUUCGGAGUGGUGGACGACCUGGGUAAAUCAAUGGAACUCAUCGACCCGUCUUGAAACACGGACCAAGGAGUCUAACAUUCUGCCGAGUGCAAAGGCGUAAACCCAAUGCGCGAAGCGAAAGCGAAAACGUCAGCAACCCCUCAAAAGGUGGAAUGACGUACCGAUCUCCACUUGUGGUAGAUUCGAGUCAAAGGCAAAAUGUUGGGACCCGAAAGAUGGUGAUCUAUGCCUGAGCAGGGUGAAGCCAGGGGAAACUCUGGUGGAAGCUCGUAGCGAUACUGACGUGCAAAUCGUUCGUCUGACUCGGGUAUAGGGGCGAAAGACUAAUCGAACCAUCUAGUAGCUGGUUCCCCC
RNAcentral lists this unclassified non-coding RNA (2389 nucleotides) under uncultured fungus. Its description in RNAcentral is "sequence contains 18S rRNA gene, ITS1, 5.8S rRNA gene, ITS2, 28S rRNA gene". The stretch from base 1288 to 2389 matches the Rfam family "Eukaryotic large subunit ribosomal RNA", at positions 1 to 961 of the family's 3401-position model. The record is from RNAcentral. Lineage: Eukaryota; Fungi.